This is a small nuclear RNA of Ailuropoda melanoleuca (giant panda), 104 nucleotides long. The record is from Ensembl. Lineage: Eukaryota; Metazoa; Chordata; Mammalia; Carnivora; Ursidae.
GUGCUCUCUUCAGUAGCACAUAUACUAAAAUUGGAAUGAUACAGAGAUUAGCAUGGCCCCUGCACAUGGAUGACACACAAAUUCAUGAAACAUAGGGAGAGGUA